Molecule: ribosomal RNA, 253 nt
Filed under: uncultured bacterium
Lineage: Bacteria
Description: partial 16S ribosomal RNA
Rfam family: Bacterial small subunit ribosomal RNA
Source: RNAcentral
UACGUAGGUGGCAAGCGUUGUCCGGAAUUAUUGGGCGUAAAGCGCGCGCAGGCGGUCCUUUAAGUCUGAUGUGAAAGCCCACGGCUCAACCGUGGAGGGUCAUUGGAGACUGGGAGACUUGAGUACAGAAGAGAAGAGUGGAAUUCCACGUGUAGCGGUGAAAUGCGUAGAGAUGUGGAGGAACACCAGUGGCGAAGGCGACUCUUUGGUCUGUAACUGACGCUGAGGCGCGAAAGCGUGGGGAGCAAACAGG